UACGGGGGGGGGCAAGCGUUGUUCGGAAUUACUGGGCGUAAAGGGCUCGUAGGUGGCCAACUAAGUCAGACGUGAAAUCCCUCGGCUUAACCGGGGAACUGCGUCUGAUACUGGAUGGCUUGAGUUCGGGAGAGGGAUGCGGAAUUCCAGGUGUAGCGGUGAAAUGCGUAGAUAUCAGGAGGAAUACCGGUGGCGAAAGCGACUCUCUGGACGGCAACUGACGCUGAGGCACGAAAGCGUGGGGAGCAAACAGG
This 254-nucleotide ribosomal RNA is filed under the name uncultured bacterium. RNAcentral describes it as "partial 16S ribosomal RNA". It matches the Rfam family "Bacterial small subunit ribosomal RNA", at positions 524 to 776 of the family's 1533-position model. The record is from RNAcentral.